Ctenocephalides felis (cat flea) is the source of this 379-nucleotide long non-coding RNA. RefSeq lists it as uncharacterized. The record is from RefSeq and is a predicted model, not a curated record. Lineage: Eukaryota; Metazoa; Arthropoda; Insecta; Siphonaptera; Pulicidae. The transcript has 3 exons.
AUCGCGGAACGAAUAUCUUGGAAAACCAGUAGACACUCCAGUAAUAGGAAGCCAGUGGACACUCAAGUAGUACGUUGUAUCGAAUUGCUAAUUUGACUAGUACUGCUGAUCGUGCUGUCCCAAAACACUUGUCAAGAUUCUACUAUGUGUUGCAUUGAGAAGCCAAUGCCAAGAACCUAAAUGUAAUAUGGGAGAAAUUCAUUUAUCAAUUCUGAGGAAUUAAGACCAGAGUGAAGUGACCGGCAACCGAUGAACCUCAUUGUCAUGUUUGGGCGUCUUGAACUUCUGGCCUCUGAUGACUUCGAGGUCUUUUGUUAUUAGCAAAAUCAAGACAAAGUGAAGUGAAGUGAACAACAACAAUUAAGAAUUAGUUAAUUUA